AGUGAACGCUGGCGGCAGGCCUAAUACAUGCAAGUCGAACGGCAGCACAGCAGAGCUUGCUCUGUGGGUGGCGAGUGGCGGACGGGUGAGGAAUACGUGGGAAUCUGCCCAGUCGUGGGGGAUAACGUAGGGAAACUUACGCUAAUACCGCAUGCGCCCUUCGGGGAAAGCCGGGGACCUUCGGGCCUGGCGCGAUUGGAUGAGCCCACGUCGGAUUAGCUAGUUGGCGGGGUAAAGGCCCACCAAGGCGACGAUCCGUAGCUGGUCUGAGAGGAUGACCAGCCACACUGGAACUGAGACACGGUCCAGACUCCUACGGGAGGCAGCAGUAGGGAAUAUUGGGACAGUGGGCGCGAGCCUGAUCCAGCCAUGCCGCGUGAGUGAAGAAAGGCCCUCGGGUUGUAAAGACUCUUUUGUCCGGAAAGAAAAGACGCCGGGUUAAUACCCCUGGUGUCCUGACGGUACCGGAAGAAUAAGCACCGGCUAAACUUCGUGCCAGCAGCCGCGGU
RNAcentral lists this ribosomal RNA (509 nucleotides) under uncultured bacterium. RNAcentral describes it as "bacterial SSU rRNA". It matches the Rfam family "Bacterial small subunit ribosomal RNA", at positions 29 to 521 of the family's 1533-position model. The record is from RNAcentral.